This 253-nucleotide ribosomal RNA is filed under the name uncultured bacterium. Its description in RNAcentral is "partial 16S ribosomal RNA". It matches the Rfam family "Bacterial small subunit ribosomal RNA", at positions 524 to 776 of the family's 1533-position model. The record is from RNAcentral.
GACAGAGGCCCCGAGCGUUAGGCGGAAUCACUGGGCUUAAAGCGUGUGUAGGCGGGCCCGUAAGUGUCUUGUGAAAUCCCACGGCUCAACCGUGGAACUGCUGGGCAUACUGGACAUCUCGAGGCACUCAGGGGCGAGCGGAACAAGUGGUGGAGCGGUGAAAUGCGUAGAUAUCACUUGGAACGCCAAUGGUGAAGACAGCUCGCUGGGGGUGUCCUGACGCUGAGGCGCGAAAGCCAGGGGAGCGAACGGG